CGCGUAGGCGGCUAUUUAAGUCAGGGUGAAAUCCCGGGGCUCAACCCCGGAACUGCCCUUGAAACUGGAUGGCUAGAAUCCUGGAGAGGCGAGUGGAAUUCCGAGUGUAGAGGUGAAAUUCGUAGAUAUUCGGAAGAACACCAGUGGCGAAGGCGACUCGCUGGACAGGUAUUGACGCUGAGGUGCGAAAGCGUGGGGAGCAAACA
RNAcentral lists this ribosomal RNA (206 nucleotides) under uncultured bacterium. RNAcentral's name for it is "partial 16S ribosomal RNA". It matches the Rfam family "Bacterial small subunit ribosomal RNA", at positions 568 to 774 of the family's 1533-position model. The record is from RNAcentral.